GUUGGAGACCGUGGAGGGCCUUCGUGAAAGGGGAUGAGCUCGAGUGGACUCAAGUUCGAGGAGCAAGUUUCUGUGAAGGAGAUUGUAAUAUUUCUGUUAAUGAGUUUUGAAUGAAGAUUACGAGAAAAGAACGCAAUAAAUAAAAGAAAAAAGAGAUGAGAGACAUCAUCAUCAUCAACGAGAUAUCUAAAUACACUUCCAAGAGGAAAAUCAAAGAAGAUGCUUAUGCGACGCUAAUCGUCUCAAGAAUUAUUGAUUAAAACGAGAAAUUUAAUAUUGAAAGACUAAAAUUGAGAAUUGUGAUAAAUAUUUGAUGAAACUAUUACUAUAACCUCUUUAAUGUUAUUAACGAUUCAAUUAAAAAUAAUUGAAUCUCUUCUUAACAUCUUCGAUUAUCCAUAUUAUAUCUUUUGAAAAUGGUAUAAUAAAAAUAUCUUUAAAAAAAUGCUUCUGUAAAGAAUAAUUCAAGUAAAAAUAAAUUUCGAAAUUUCGAAAAAACAUUUCAUAUAACGAUAUCGUUGAUCGAACAUUGUAAGAAAUGGCGCAUGUUUUAUCGGCAAUACUGUUCUACGAAACAGUGACGCGUUAUCCAUAUAUCAUCGUUACGUAAUAUAUGUGAUAAUCGUAACUAGUAAACAAAACAAUGAGAUUCGAUGCUUGGCGAAUGCUUUUGAAAUAUUAUCGAUCACAUAACACGAAUACGAAUACAAAUAAAAUUAUUUUUAUUUUCAUUUCAUUCAUCUAAUUGUGUUAAAAAUUAUAUUUCAUCGUGUAUUUGUAUUUUUUGGAUCUUUAAACAUUGUUAAUUACUUGUCAACUCUGCAUUAUAUCUUGAUGAUGUCUGCUUUUUUACACGAAGUAAUUUUUAAAAAUUAAUUAGAGUAUAAUAUUAAGAAUUUUCCGUCACGUUAUCAAGACUAUAAAGAAAUGUUUUUCUCAUAUACGUAUCUGUACAAGUUUUGCAAUAUAUAUUGAUAAUUAAAGAUUGUGUUUGAGAUAUUAA
This is a long non-coding RNA of Apis cerana (Asiatic honeybee), 1003 nucleotides long. RefSeq lists it as uncharacterized. Lineage: Eukaryota; Metazoa; Arthropoda; Insecta; Hymenoptera; Apidae. The record is from RefSeq and is a predicted model, not a curated record.